Molecule: long non-coding RNA, 1251 nt
Organism: Onychostoma macrolepis
Lineage: Eukaryota; Metazoa; Chordata; Actinopteri; Cypriniformes; Cyprinidae
Exons: 3
Source: RefSeq, a predicted model, not a curated record
AGGCAACUUCUUAUGUGAACAUCACACCUUCCGAGAGAGGCAAUGUCUUUACAUGACUCUUGAAUGCUCAGUUGGGUUGCAGCAUCAAGAAGGUCAUCGUCCUCAUCUAGAUCACCUGAUGAAUCCAUUUUCCUGGAGACGACAGAGGUGCUUCAGGGAUCGUGGGUUGUCUGGAACAAAUUCAGAAGAUAUUAGUCUGCAUUCCCUGAGACUAGAGAACCAUCGAUCUGUUGCUAGAGAACAGGAUGGAUCUCAGACGUGAGCAGAGGGGAACGCAGCUGACAUAGUCCAGUAGGAUCAGUACCACUCGUCCCGAAAGGUCGACCAGGCAGCACAGACUCAUGAAGUCACAGAACUGGGAUGUAAAGGCAACAUAAAUUUAGCAAUUUAAAUGUCAUAAUAUUAUUCAUUUAGUAAUAUAAAAUAAAUGAUAAUACAUACAAUAGGGUUCAGUUAAUCAAUGAACUUUGUUUCAUAACUAACACUGAAUAACAUUUUUCACAGCAUUUAAUAUUCUAGGUUAAUGUUUAUUUAUAAGCAUUUGUUAAUUCACGUUCGUUCGUUAAUUAAUGUUCAUUUGUACAACUUUAAAUGUUAAAAUGUAUAUGUAGAAAUUUUAAUUAACCCAGAUUAAUAAAUGCUGUAAUAUUUUCAUUGUUAUUUUGUGAUGCCUAAUGAUAGCAAAAUGUUUUUGGUCACACUUUAUAUUAGGUGGCCUUAACUACUAUGUACUUACAUCAAAAAAUAAGUACAAUGUAAUUAUUGUGUUCAUACUGUAUUGCAAAACACUUUUGCUGCUAUUGAGGUGGGAUACGCGUAAGGUUAUAGGGACAGGUUUGGUGGUAUGGGUGGGUUAAAGUGUAAGGGAUGGGUCAAAAGUGUAAUUAUAAAUGUAAUUACAGAAAUUAAUUACAGAUGUAAUUACAUAUUGUCAUGAGUCCGGGUCAGCGAUGAUCCCUCUCACCACCAGAGGUUGCUACCUCCCGUGUUCCCGGACUCAGUUGCCAUUACUCCACACACCUGCCACUCAUCACACUCCCAGCUGUUCCCCAUCACUAUGGACUAUUUAUACACCUCACUCCCGCUACUCUGUCUGGUGGAAUUAAUAAUUGUUUGUAAGUUGUUGUAGUUGCCGGUCGUUACUCUGUGGACACACGCACUGUGUUGCCGUCUGUUGUGUCCCGUUCUGUAACCUGUUUUCUUUUUGCCUUGUUGGCUUUUUGUUGUUUAUUAAAGUGGUUUUUCCCUGCA